This 671-nucleotide ribosomal RNA is filed under the name Priestia aryabhattai. RNAcentral describes it as "bacterial SSU rRNA". It matches the Rfam family "Bacterial small subunit ribosomal RNA", at positions 80 to 737 of the family's 1533-position model. Lineage: Bacteria; Bacillati; Bacillota; Bacilli; Caryophanales; Bacillaceae. The record is from RNAcentral.
GCUUCUAUGACGUUAGCGGCGGACGGGUGAGUAACACGUGGGCAACCUGCCUGUAAGACUGGGAUAACUUCGGGAAACCGAAGCUAAUACCGGAUAGGAUCUUCUCCUUCAUGGGAGAUGAUUGAAAGAUGGUUUCGGCUAUCACUUACAGAUGGGCCCGCGGUGCAUUAGCUAGUUGGUGAGGUAACGGCUCACCAAGGCAACGAUGCAUAGCCGACCUGAGAGGGUGAUCGGCCACACUGGGACUGAGACACGGCCCAGACUCCUACGGGAGGCAGCAGUAGGGAAUCUUCCGCAAUGGACGAAAGUCUGACGGAGCAACGCCGCGUGAGUGAUGAAGGCUUUCGGGUCGUAAAACUCUGUUGUUAGGGAAGAACAAGUACGAGAGUAACUGCUCGUACCUUGACGGUACCUAACCAGAAAGCCACGGCUAACUACGUGCCAGCAGCCGCGGUAAUACGUAGGUGGCAAGCGUUAUCCGGAAUUAUUGGGCGUAAAGCGCGCGCAGGCGGUUUCUUAAGUCUGAUGUGAAAGCCCACGGCUCAACCGUGGAGGGUCAUUGGAAACUGGGGAACUUGAGUGCAGAAGAGAAAAGCGGAAUUCCACGUGUAGCGGUGAAAUGCGUAGAGAUGUGGAGGAACACCAGUGGCGAAGGCGGCUUUUUGGUCUGU